UUGAACGCUGGCGGCAGGCCUAACACAUGCAAGUCGCACGGUAACAGAAAGCAGCUUGCUGCUUUGCUGACGAGUGGCGGACGGGUGAGUAAUGUCUGGGAAACUGCCUGAUGGAGGGGGAUAACUACUGGAAACGGUAGCUAAUACCGCAUAACGUCGCAAGACCAAAGAGGGGGACCUUCGGGCCUCUUGCCAUCGGAUGUGCCCAGAUGGGAUUAGCUAGUAGGUGGGGUAACGGCUCACCUAGGCGACGAUCCCUAGCUGGUCUGAGAGGAUGACCAGCCACACUGGAACUGAGACACGGUCCAGACUCCUACGGGAGGCAGCAGUGGGGAAUAUUGCACAAUGGGCGCAAGCCUGAUGCAGCCAUGCCGCGUGUAUGAAGAAGGCCUUCGGGUUGUAAAGUACUUUCAGCGGGGAGGAAGGGAGUAAAGUUAAUACCUUUGCUCAUUGACGUUACCCGCAGAAGAAGCACCGGCUAACUCCGUG
This 489-nucleotide ribosomal RNA is filed under the name uncultured bacterium. Its description in RNAcentral is "partial 16S ribosomal RNA". It matches the Rfam family "Bacterial small subunit ribosomal RNA", at positions 30 to 507 of the family's 1533-position model. The record is from RNAcentral.